UGGUCGGAUUAUUGGGCGUAAGAGCACGUAGGCGGCCUUGCAAGUCAGUUGUGAAAGCCUUCCGCUUAACGGAAGAACGGCAUCUGAUACUACAGGGCUUGAGUACGGGAGGGGAGAGUGGAACUUCUGGUGGAGCGGUGAAAUGCGUAGAUAUCAGAAGGAACGCCGGCGGCGAAAGCGACUCUCUGGUCCGAAACUGACGCUGAGUGUGCGAAAGCUAGGGGAGCAAACGGGAUUAGAUACCCCGGUAGUCCUAGCCGUAAACGAUGGGUACUAAGUAGAGGGGUUUUGAUUAUUUCUCUGCCGGAGCUAACGCAUUAAGUGCCCCGCCUGGGGAGUACGGCCGCAAGGCUAAAACUCAAAAGAAUUGACGGGGGCUCGCACAAGCGGUGGAGCAUGUGGCUUAAUUCGAUGCAACGCGAAGAACCUAACCGGGGCUUGACAUGGUAGAAGUAGAAUCCUGAAAGGGUGACGAUCGGUAUCCAGUCCGAAGCUAUCACAGGUGUUGCAUGGCUGUCGUCAGCUCGUGUCGUGAGACGUUGGGUUAAGUCCCCUAACGAGCGAAACCCUUGUCUUUAGUUGCUAACGGGUAAUGCUGAGCACUUUAGAGAGACUGCCGUCGUUAAGACGGAGGAAGGUGGGGACGACGUCAAGUCAUCAUGGCCCUUAUGUCCCGGGCUGCACACGUGCUACAAUGGUCGGUACAAAGGGAUGCUAAGUCGCGAGAUUGUGCGAAACCUAUAAAGCCGAUCUCAGUUCAGAUUGGAGGCUGAAACUCGCCUCCAUGAAGUUGGAAUCGCUAGUAAUCGCGGAUCAGCUACGCCGCGGUGAAUAUGUUCCCGAGCC
RNAcentral lists this ribosomal RNA (846 nucleotides) under uncultured bacterium. Its description in RNAcentral is "bacterial SSU rRNA". It matches the Rfam family "Bacterial small subunit ribosomal RNA", at positions 542 to 1380 of the family's 1533-position model. The record is from RNAcentral.